Molecule: ribosomal RNA, 2910 nt
Filed under: Triticum aestivum (bread wheat)
Lineage: Eukaryota; Viridiplantae; Streptophyta; Magnoliopsida; Poales; Poaceae
Description: partial small subunit ribosomal RNA
Source: RNAcentral
AUGGGGAUAAGGCUCCAAGAGCUGCUGUUUCAGUCACAUAAGGAUCCGAUCAAAACAUUUGUCAAAAAUCUGAUCCAAACGACUAUUGAUAUCUUCCAUGUUUUCAUUGGAGGAGGAUGGUGUGGUGAGCUGGUUCAUGGAAGGAUUUCUUUUUGGUCAGAAUUUCCGCGGUACGGAGUGUGGCCCGCCAUUCUUUUCAAGCUUUGCUUAAAAAAUUACUGGUCGCGGUGUGGUUCAUCGAGUGGAGAUCGAGACCUCCUGAAGAAACAACCAGAGAAAAAGAGAGGGAGCUGUGAGAGGCAGCACCAAGGUAGAAGAACAAGAGCGGCGCUGCGAGGAGGCGGCGCCAACAAUUGGCAUCAGAGCCUUGUCGAUCCAAGGCGGUGGUGGCGCCGCGGCGGACUCCGUGUGAGGUGGAGGUCGGCGACGCAAGGUGGACGCUGUUGGCAGCGCGAUGCUGCUUGCGGCCGGUGCGUGUCUCCAUCAUCGUUGAGCUGCGUCACGAGCGAUGGAGAAAGAUAUGUUGCCCGGUCAUCAUCCACGUCCGAGUCGUCGACAAGGUGCGUCAUCGACGGCAACGUGGAGGUGGGUCACCGGCGAGUUGCGGCACCGGUGAUGAACAUGUGCGGGUCGUCGACAAGGUGCGUCAUCAACGACAACAUCGAGCUGAGCCACCGGCAAGUUGCGGCAUCGGUGAAGAACAUGUGGCAGCAAGCGAGCAAUGGCGGCACUCGCGGCGAAGGCAUAGGAGGUGCGCCUCUCGUGGAGGCCAGCGGCGACGGCGGUAAUCGGCGUGACAAGAUCGCAUUGGCAGCCAUCUCCGUGUUGCAACGACGACAUCGACGACGUACAAGCUGCGGCAGGGUGUGCACGUUAAGUUGUGAUCACGUGCACCAUGCAAAGCUGAUCGGUAGAGCUAGUAUUCUCACUACCAGAAUCGUGAUUAAGCCUGUGAGCCAACAUAUAUUCCCGUCGGCCCCGCGUAGACUCCCAGGAAAAUGUCAUUUUACUGUGGGCCAGACACUGACCGACAGGUUUUUUCACCAUAUUCCUGUAGGUUCUGAGCAGGCGCACAGGAAAAGUAUAUCCCUGUGCGUCGCGGCCCACAGGAAUCGCAUUCGGCCCUUCGCGCCCGCGGGCUGCCGCUUCGCGCCAUCGGAGUUAGGCCCAAUACAAAAGGAGAGGGCAAACACAUACAGCCUCCAUCCCCAAUUCAGUCGUAGUCUCCAGAAUCCUCUCGAUCCCCAAUCCAGUCCUGCGCUUCACCGCCGCCGCCACCAUCGUCCGGUCCACAGCCGGAGCCGCCGCCACACCAUCCUCCGGUCCACCGCCGCCGCCGCCACACCACCCUCCGGUCCACCGCCACCGCCGCCACACCAUCCUCCGGUCCACCGCCGCCGCCGCCACACCAUCCGCAGGUCCACCGCCGUGGCAGCAGCUACACCAUCCUCCCAUCUACCGUCGCGGCUGCCUCCCCUCCCUGCGGAAGGCCUUCCUUCCGCCUGCAUCUUCCUCACCACUUGCGUAGUGCCGGUCUCUGCCUCGCCACCCGCCGGAGCACCAGCAUCUGCCCCCCACCAAGCUCCCGUACUUGUCCCCCCAUUCAGAUUUACACGUCUUCACCUCCGGCUGCCUGUACUCCUCUACUCGCUGCCUCACAAGUCCCCAUUCUCCAUAUCUCUGAACCGUGAUUGGAUGUAUAGUGGAUGGGUGUUUGGUCAAGUCCCUUCUAAUAUAUGGCUUGAAGAAACUGCACGAUUUAUAGACCGGGCCUUCUCUUCUGUAGCUGAAGGUGAACAUGGUGAGAGUUUUGUAGCUGCUGCUGAUGGAUCUGUCCCUUUAGUACAUCAAGAGGGCUGUAAUGCAACUGAUCGAAUGGACAAUAUGUUGGUUGACUUAGGUGGUAGCCAUCUUCCACCGGUUACUGAGGAGCCAACCUCCUCUGCCAAGGCUUUUUAUAGGAUGGUCAGUAGUGCCGAUGAAUUGGUACAUGAGAACACAAAACACUCACGUCUUUCUGCUGUAGCUCGUUUGUUGGCUAUGAAAUCACAAUACAACAUGUCCAUUGCACAUUUUGAUGAUACCUUAAAAAUAAUCCAUGAACUUUUGCCUCCUGAAUCUAAUUUGUCCGAAGACUUCUACCAAUCCAAGAAACUCUUAGAAGAUAGAUUGCAAAGGCGUGCUAAUGAAGAAAAUGCAGAACUCAGGCGUGCUAAGGAGAUGCUACAGCAGAAAGUAGAUAUGCAUGGACAGCUCAUAACUGCACUUUUCAAGGAGAUAGGAAAAGAGUUGCCAGCGCAUAUACUACAUAUACUAAGCCAUGGAGCUGUUUCGCAACCACAAGGGACAAAUAACUCGUCUCAAGCCGGCUCACAAGCGGUUGAUGUCAACAAUGAUGUCAUGGAGUCGAGCGAGGAGAACGACACCACUGGGAAUGUCGAGAAACAACCAGAGAAAGAGAGAGGGAGCUGUGAGAGGCAGCACCAAGGUAGAAGAACAAGAGCGGCGCUGCGAGGAGGCGGCGCCAACAAGUGCCACCACUGCUCUGUUAUCAAAGCCUGGAUGUGCUUUUUUCAAGAAGAUGCAAGAGCAUUGCAUCCAGAUGAAUCACAGUGUGGCGGCGAUGAUGGUAUUCAUCAUCUUCCGAUGCCCAGCCGGCGCUGCAACAGAUUGAAGUCUCAGCGGCAGCAAUAUAUGGUACCACACCUCACGCGCAAAGGGGCAGCCAAGGAACAUGUGUGUGAUAUUCUCGUCGACCAGGCAGCAGAGUUGGCAUUGUUGAAUGGUUGUAAGGUUCCGGCGUGGCAACCUGUCGGCCGCCCAAAGUCUUCGACGCACCGCCAACCAUGUAAAAAAUUUGAUCUCAAGGGGAGCCCAAUGGCCUCCAAAUUUCUUGGGCGCAUCGGGUGA